Molecule: small nuclear RNA, 104 nt
Filed under: Cercocebus atys (sooty mangabey)
Lineage: Eukaryota; Metazoa; Chordata; Mammalia; Primates; Cercopithecidae
Source: RNAcentral
AUGCUUGCUUUAGCAGCAUAUAUACUAAAAUUGGAAUAAUAUGGAGAUUAGCAUGGCCCCUGUGCAAGGAUGAUAUGCAAAUUUAUGAAGUGUUCCAUAUUUUU